GACAGCAGUCGCCGCGGUAAUACAGAGGGUGCGAGCGUUAAUCGGAUUUACUGGGCGUAAAGCGUGCGUAGGCGGCUUCUUAAGUCGGAUGUGAAAUCCCUGAGCUUAACUUAGGAAUUGCAUUCGAUACUGGGAAGCUAGAGUAUGGGAGAGGAUGGUAGAAUUCCAGGUGUAGCGGUGAAAUGCGUAGAGAUCUGGAGGAAUACCGAUGGCGAAGGCAGCCAUCUGGCCUAAUACUGACGCUGAGGUACGAAAGCAUGGGGAGCAAACAGGAUUAGAUACCCGGGUAGUCCCUGUCUCUUAUAC
This 306-nucleotide ribosomal RNA is filed under the name uncultured bacterium. RNAcentral describes it as "partial 16S ribosomal RNA". It matches the Rfam family "Bacterial small subunit ribosomal RNA", at positions 507 to 807 of the family's 1533-position model. The record is from RNAcentral.